CACGUAGUUAGCCGGGGCUUCUUGGUCAGGUACCGCCAUCUUCUUCCCUGCCGAUAGGGCUUUACGCGCCGAAACGCUCCUUCACCCACGCGGCGUCGCUGCAUCAGGGUUCCCCCCAUUGUGCAAUAUCCCCCACUGCUGCCUCCCGUAGGAGUCUGGGCCGUGUCUCAGUCCCAGUGUGGCCGUCCACCCUCUCAGGCCGGCUACUGAUCGUCGCCUUGGUAGGCCGUUACCCUGCCAACCAGCUAAUCAGACGCGGGCCCAUCCUGUACCACCGGGGUUUUCCGCGCCGUGCCAUGCGGCACUGCGCGCUUAUGCGGUAUUAGCACCUGUUUCCAGGUGUUAUCCCCCAGUACAGGGCAGGUUGCCCACGCGUUACUCACCCGUCCGCCACUCGCGCGACGCCGCAGGGGCCGAGGCCCCUGCCGCACGCCGCGCCCGUUCGACUUGCAUGUGUUAGGCACGCCGCCAGCGUUCAUCCUGAGCCGAGUCAACACU
Molecule: ribosomal RNA, 498 nt
Filed under: uncultured Eubacteriales bacterium
Lineage: Bacteria; Bacillati; Bacillota; Clostridia; Eubacteriales
Description: uncultured Clostridiales bacterium partial 16S ribosomal RNA
Source: RNAcentral